ACAAAGUUGAUAAAAAUGGCUUAUUUUGGGUCUUCUAGAGUUUGGGUUUUCGUAUAAUAAUCAUCCAUCCAACCAUCCUUUCUGGCAGAUGUUGACAACAGUUUUCAGUUGAGUCACGGGGGCUGUGUUUAUGUGGAAUGCAUGAUAAUCAUGUUCUUUACAACCGUCCAUAAAGAACAAUAACUCCACCUUUUAUUGACUCAACAUCAAUAAAAGCCACUCCAGCACUGUAGCGUUGAGUCACUCACUGCACCAAUUUUUCAGUUUUUGAUUUGUUAAAAAAGUUUGAAAUAUCCAAUAAAUGUCGUUCCACUUCAUGAUUGUGUCCCACUUGUUGUUGAUUCUUCACAAAAAAAGACAGUUUUAUAUCUUUAUGUUUGAAGCCUGAAAUGUGGCAAAAGGUCGCAAAGUUCAAGGGGGCCGAAUACUUUCGCAAGGCACUGUAUUUUAUUAGUUAAACAUUUUGGGGACGAGCUUUGCUCCCAUUUUCCACCUUUUCACUGUAGGCUACGGGCGUGUUGCCUUGGCUAAAUGACCUUGAAGAUUGGCCUGUCGCCAGCUAGCUAGCGUAGGCUACAUGUUGUAUGUUCCCUUCGGGGGUACAGAGGGAACAGCGGUCAGGGGAGCGGGCUGAGCAGUGAACGUGAAACACCAGGUGUUGGUGUGGUAACGAAGGCAGUAGGCAGCCGUUUUGGGGAUAUGUUAGUGGUUGUCUGGGUGACAGACGGCUUGUACCUCUCUCCUUCUCUCUCUUGCUCUCUCUCACACAACGUUCUCUCUCCCACUACCUCUCUCUGGCACUUAAACGAUAUCGCCUUGGCAACUCGUGCCUGGGCAUAAUGAGGCGUGAGAUUCCACCGUUAAUAACACUGGUAGUUCAACCAGCAGUUCUCUCUCUCUGCUUUUUCCUGGGGGUUUUCUCUCCGUCAGCCAAUGUAUUUUUCCCCCUCUGUCUCUCACUUUCUCAUCUCAGCAUCUCCAAUUUAGCAUCUCUGAUUUAUUUCUGCUAGUCACCUGUUCAUUCCUUCUCUCGCCUCUCUCUUUCUCCUAUCUCUCUCCUUGAUAUCGUAUCCUCCUUCGUUGUCUUCAGUAAAGAGUCUAACUGUGUGAGCACUCACGGCUCCUCUGGCGUAUGGAACAUGCAGAGGUGUGUGUCAGUCAAACUGCUCUUCUCUGAAUCGCUUUUCAGCCGUGUUGCAUUCUAAUGGUUGUUUAACGAACCUACAAGCACACACACACACACACGCACGCACGCACGCACGCACGCACACGCACACGCACACGCACACACACACACACUCAACGGUCCACAAAUAGAUAUCCGCUUUGCAUCAGACACACACACUCCUUCGCAUCCCCUGUGCUACACACACCCCUCAGUCAGACACACACACACACACACAUCCUCUGUGUAAGUGACUAGACACUACCCACACACACCCCCACCCUUUCCAUUAGUCUCAUUUGUCAGGGGUUUAGAGGUGUGUUCAAAGCUCCUCCACGUUGUCCCAGGGUUUGUCAGGGCGUUUAGAGGUGUGUUCAAAGCUCCUCCACGUUGUCCCAGGGUUUGUCAGGGCGUUUAGAGGUGUGUUCAAAGCUCCUCCACGUUGUCCCAGGGUUUGUCAGGGCGUUUAGAGGUGUGUUCAAAGCUCCUCCACGUUGUCCCAGGGUUUGUCAGGGCGUUUAGAGGUGUGUUCAAAGCUCCUCCACGUUGUCCCAGGGUUUGUCAGGGCGUUUAGAGGUGUGUUCAAAGCUCCUCCACGUUGACCCAGGGUUUGUCAGGGCGUUUAGAGGUGUGUUCAAAGCUCCUCCACGUUGUCCCAGGGUUUGUCAGGGCGUUUAGAGGUGUGUUCAAAGCUCCUCCACGUUGUCCCAGGGUUUGUCAGGGCGUUUAGAGGUGUGUUCAAAGCUCCUCCACGUUGACCCAGGGUUUGUCAGGGCGUUUAGAGGUGUGUUCAAAGCUCCUCCACGUUGUCCCAGGGUUUGUCAGGGCGUUUAGAGGUGUGUUCAAAGCUCCUCCACGUUGUCCCAGGGUUUGUCAGGGCGUUUAGAGGUGUGUUCAAAGCUCCUCCACGUUGUCCCAGGGUUUGUCAGGGCGUUUAGAGGUGUGUUCAAAGCUCCUCCACGUUGUCCCAGGGUUUGUCAGGGCGUUUAGAGGUGUGUUCAAAGCUCCUCCACGUUGACCCAGGGUUUGUCAGGGUACUUUGACUCAUUUGAAGAUGUGCAGCUCCACCCCAGGCAGAUAAGAGCCUUGUUAAACCUUGAGUGGUGUAAAAGGGGUUGAAUAGGAUGAGGGGUGACACGAUGUUUAAAGUGGUUCCUCUAAGCCCUGGAGGAAACACAACAACAGUACAGGGUAUUAAUUACACCUUAUUGGAGAAGGGAAGCGGUUUACACACCACACAUGCU
This is a long non-coding RNA of Oncorhynchus keta (chum salmon), 2409 nucleotides long. RefSeq lists it as uncharacterized. The record is from RefSeq and is a predicted model, not a curated record. Lineage: Eukaryota; Metazoa; Chordata; Actinopteri; Salmoniformes; Salmonidae. The transcript is spliced from 3 exons.